This is a long non-coding RNA of Schistocerca serialis cubense, 291 nucleotides long. RefSeq lists it as uncharacterized. NCBI's taxonomy places the organism in Eukaryota, Metazoa, Arthropoda, Insecta, Orthoptera, Acrididae. The transcript has 2 exons. The record is from RefSeq and is a predicted model, not a curated record.
GGCGCGGGCGGGGGCGGAACCCUGCACAGGCUUCUCGCCUGCAAGGAUGCGACCGCCCUCGCGAACUGCAACAGCGUGUCUACCGGGCUGCGCUCGGCGGCGACGUCUCCGUCGGGCGGCGCCGCGGCGCUGCCGCCGCUGCUGUCCGGACCCGAAGUCGUCACGGCGUCGCACCGCAUCCAGGAGAGCUGUAUAUAGCCACGUCACACACGAUCACACACACUGCCCGCUCAUCCGAAUCAAUACUCUUUAUAUUGUAAAUACCAAGACUAAUAAAAGCAUUAAUAUGUA